CGAGGAGGAUGGACGGUCGCUGCUGCUUUAAUAGCAGGAGAGGAAAGUCCGAGCACCUCAUGAAUCAGAGUGCCUGCUAACAGCAGGGCGGGGUGACCCGACAGACAGUGCAACAGAAAACAUAACGCCUUGAUAAACGAAUCAAUUCGAACAUUCAAGGUAAGUGUGAAAAGGUGCGGUAAAAGCGCACCGCUCGUGUGGUGACAUACGAGGCAAGGUAAACCUCACUCGGUGCAAGACCAAAUAGGGAAGCGUUGACCGGAUUCGGGUAGCUUCCGGGUUGGUUGCUUGAACCUGCAGGUAACUGUAGGUCUAGAUGGAUGACCGUCACUGAUCCGACUUUAUUGGAUCUAGUACAGGACUCGGCUUAUAGUCCACCUCGCGGC
Molecule: RNase P RNA, 386 nt
Filed under: Chloroflexota bacterium
Lineage: Bacteria; Bacillati; Chloroflexota
Also listed under: 1 other name
Description: RNase P RNA component class A
Rfam family: Bacterial RNase P class A
About the family: Ribonuclease P (RNase P) is a ubiquitous endoribonuclease, found in archaea, bacteria and eukarya as well as chloroplasts and mitochondria. Its best characterised activity is the generation of mature 5'-ends of tRNAs by cleaving the 5'-leader elements of precursor-tRNAs.
Source: RNAcentral